Molecule: non-coding RNA, 718 nt
Organism: Nicotiana tabacum (common tobacco)
Lineage: Eukaryota; Viridiplantae; Streptophyta; Magnoliopsida; Solanales; Solanaceae
Source: RefSeq, a predicted model, not a curated record
UUCAAAGUACAUAAUUUCUUGUGCUCCUCAGGCUACAAAAGCUUACAACAGCAGUAAAACUGGUUGAAGCCACAUCUAAAAGCUUCCGUUUGCAGCCUGAUUCCAGACAUGACGGUAGCGGCAACUACCAAAUAAACGUAUUCCUUCAAGUUACUGAAAUCCCCCUGCAAAUUCCAUCCAAGAGAAAGUGCAACAGAGAAAUUUCCUCGAGAUGAAUAUGCUGACCCAAAAAAUGAUGAGGAUGAAAAGCGUGACUAUCUGGGAGAUGAAGACAAUGCGGAUAACUUAAAGACCAAAAUCAUAGAAAUUCAACUAGCACGAGGACUAUCAUUUGCCAUUACUGCAAAGGUCAAGGAAAGGGUGCUGCCAAAGCUACAAGAAGUAAAAAGGGCAGUGACCAUGGAAGGAGUCGACCUCCAUCGGCAAACAAAAGCUCUCAGCCUGAAUGGAUGAGUACAACUUUUCUGGUUAAGCUAAAAGCUCUGAAUAUUUCCAUUGGCUGCUCAGUUGCACUUUAAAAAGUGAAUCAUUUUCAUCAUUAUUUUCAUUCUACAGUAUGAAAUUUAGCAAGUGUAAAGCAUUUGUGCUUUAAAUUAGUAACCUGUAUUGACAGAUACCAUUAACCGCCAAGAUAGAAGGCUCUGUCCAACUUUGUAUCUGCUCGUCUCUAUAUCUAUGAUUCACAUAUGUCAACAAAUUACAAGGUGAUUGAAUUUUA